This 447-nucleotide ribosomal RNA is filed under the name uncultured bacterium. RNAcentral's name for it is "bacterial SSU rRNA". It matches the Rfam family "Bacterial small subunit ribosomal RNA", at positions 355 to 825 of the family's 1533-position model. The record is from RNAcentral.
UGGGGAAUAUUGGACAAUGGGCGCAAGCCUGAUCCAGCCAUGCCGCGUGAGUGACGAAGGCCUUAGGGUUGUAAAGCUCUUUUGGCGGGGAAGAUAAUGACGGUACCCGCAGAAUAAGCUCCGGCUAACUUCGUGCCAGCAGCCGCGGUAAUACGAAGGGAGCUAGCGUUGUUCGGAAUCACUGGGCGUAAAGCGCACGUAGGUGGGCAGUUAAGUCAGGGGUGAAAGCCCGAGGCUCAACCUCGGAAUUGCCUCUGAUACUGGCUGUCUAGAGUUCGAGAGAGGUGAGUGGAAUUCCUAGUGUAGAGGUGAAAUUCGUAGAUAUUGGGAAGAACACCGGUGGCGAAGGCGGCUCACUGGCUCGAUACUGACACUGAGGUGCGAAAGCCAGGGGAGCAAACGGGAUUAGAUACCCCAGUAGUCCCUGAGCGGGCUGGCAAGGCGCAU